Molecule: ribosomal RNA, 468 nt
Filed under: uncultured bacterium
Lineage: Bacteria
Description: partial 16S ribosomal RNA
Rfam family: Bacterial small subunit ribosomal RNA
Source: RNAcentral
GAUGAACGCUGGCGGCGUGCUUAACACAUGCAAGUCGAACGGUGAAGGCGGAGCUUGCUCUGCUGGAUCAGUGGCGAACGGGUGAGUAACACGUGAGCAAUCUGCCCCUGACUCUGGGAUAAGCGCUGGAAACGGCGUCUAAUACUGGAUACGAGCUGCGAAGGCAUCUUCAGCAGCUGGAAAGAAUUUCGGUCAGGGAUGAGCUCGCGGCCUAUCAGCUUGUUGGUGAGGUAAUGGCUCACCAAGGCGUCGACGGGUAGCCGGCCUGGGAGGGUGACCGGCCACACUGGGACUGAGACACGGCCCAGACUCCUACGGGAGGCAGCAGUGGGGAAUAUUGCACAAUGGGCGAAAGCCUGAUGCAGCAACGCCGCGUGAGGGACGACGGCCUUCGGGUUGUAAACCUCUUUUAGCAGGGAAGAAGCGAAAGUGACGGUACCUGCAGAAAAAGCGCCGGCUAACUACGUG